GAUUCAAGCAGAGCAUGACCAGCAAGAAAUGUCAAAAGUCAGAGAGGGCCUACAACAGUUUGAAAAUCUAAAAGAAACGUUUGAAAAGGAAUUCAGCUUGAAAGAGGAGGAGGUUGUAACACUUCAAACAAAACUUGACAGUAAAGAAAUUGAAUUGAAGGAAAUAUUUGUCAG
Long non-coding RNA from Clupea harengus (Atlantic herring), 174 nucleotides. RefSeq lists it as uncharacterized. NCBI's taxonomy places the organism in Eukaryota, Metazoa, Chordata, Actinopteri, Clupeiformes, Clupeidae. The transcript has 3 exons. The record is from RefSeq and is a predicted model, not a curated record.